CUGUGAACCCGCGCUGGCGGGAGUAGCUACUGACCGCUGGGGACCCCUGCCCAGGCUGCUCCCAUGUGGAAAGGAUUCAGGGAGCAGGCGAUGCUUAGCCGAAAGCGUGGAGACCAGCGCUGCUCUCUCCCCAGCGACAGUAUAGAUGUGCCCUGUACAGGAGGGUGCUGUCUGACGCCAGACACCCGGACUACAAAUCGCAACCCCAUUCCUGAUUUCAUGAGGCCCCUUGCCCAGAAUGUCCACGUUUGAAACCUCCCAACACCAAGCCCCAUUUCAAGUAUAACCAGGAGGGAAAAUGGUGCUUGAAAUAAGCAUGCCGCAAAGGAACACCUGCUUUCUCUAAAUGGGCUCUGGCCGCCCAGGCCCUGACCUCCCUGGCCAGGAUGGAACGUUCCAGAGACCUAUUAGUGCCAAAGGCAAAUUAAAACACACCCUGUGAAAAUGUC
This 449-nucleotide long non-coding RNA is filed under the name Pongo abelii (Sumatran orangutan). RNAcentral describes it as "lincRNA". The record is from RNAcentral. Lineage: Eukaryota; Metazoa; Chordata; Mammalia; Primates; Hominidae.